CAGCCGCCGCGGUAAAACGGAGGGUGCAAGCGUUGCCCGGAUUUAUUGGGUUUAAAGGGUGCGUAGGCGGCUAUUUAAGUCAGCGGUGAAAGACUCCGGCUCAACCGGAGCAGUGCCAUUGAUACUGGAUAGCUUGAGUGUUGGAGGGGUACAUGGAAUUGAUGGUGUAGCGGUGAAAUGCAUAGAUACCAUCAGGAACACCGAUAGCGAAGGCAUUGUACUGGCCAACAACUGACGCUGAGGCACGAAAGCAUGGGGAGCGAACAGGAUUAGAUACCCGUGUAGUCCCUGUCUCUUAUAC
This 301-nucleotide ribosomal RNA is filed under the name uncultured bacterium. Its description in RNAcentral is "partial 16S ribosomal RNA". It matches the Rfam family "Bacterial small subunit ribosomal RNA", at positions 509 to 807 of the family's 1533-position model. The record is from RNAcentral.